GAGCGCUACACAUCCAUAGUUGUUGUAAACUGAAACAAAGUUGGCACACGGUCAAGCAAUACAAUCUUGUGCUUAAAGACGUGAAGAGUUUUAUAUUAAUUGAAGUUUUCCACCAAUGAAAAACAUCAUAUUUCUGAUCAGAUUUGGUACAGGCAUAUUUUUAAUGGAUGCCACUUUCCUCACCCCAAUACGUGAAUUCAACAAAGUCCCUUAUGCCUACCCACCAUCUCUUCAUAAUCUCCUGCAACUAACUCUACUUUAAUCUCUCUCUCUCCAUGGUACACCAACCGUCAAUAUAACAUAUAUCUGUCUCUACUACAGACCAUUUCUCCUUAAAAAGUACUUAGAAGCAACAGACACCACCAUCCGAUCCCAUUUCUUCAACCACACUUCCCAAUAAUUAGAGAUGAAAGUGAAAGCAUUAGUUGCCUUCCAAUCCAAGCUUUUCAGCCCAUGCAGAAAUAUAUUUUUAUUCUUCAGAAUCAAACUCGGAAAACCUAUCUUCAUAAGAGCUUUUCGAUUUCGUGCUCAACGCAACAAGACUAGAAAAACUCUUACAAGGAAUCGAAUGUCUACUGCCUUGUUUUCAUUUUUCCGCUCCCCUAAGCAUUCAAGACAGAUGGACAGAGUUGGGGAGCUUGGAAGUGUUUCCAAAGAAGAGCACGAUAGAAAGUUCUUUCCAUCACCAAAGCUCUUUCAGUCACCUCUUACUCCAGCCUAUAUCAAAGCCAGCAGAGUUGCCAUGAAGGAAGCCUUUGGCAAUGAAGACAUAGAAGAUGCAUGCAGAAGUUUUGAGAACUAUUUGGUGGAGAUGAUAGUUGAAGAGGGAAAAGUGAGGGACUUGACGGAUGUGGAAGAGCUUCUGUAUUGCUGGAAGAAUCUCAAGUGUCCUCUCUUCAUUGAUUUGGUGUGUAGAUUCUAUGGAGAACUAUGCAAGGACCUGUUCUCCCCAGAGGAUGACAAUGAUACUGAUACUGCAAACUGACUCUGCAUCUAAACUUUGCUCCCCCACGCACCCCACCCUUUUCCCUCUUCCAAGAAAAGGAAGGAAGAAGAAGAAGACGAAGAAGAGGAGAGAGAGAGAGGA
Molecule: unclassified non-coding RNA, 1087 nt
Filed under: Hevea brasiliensis (rubber tree)
Lineage: Eukaryota; Viridiplantae; Streptophyta; Magnoliopsida; Malpighiales; Euphorbiaceae
Source: RNAcentral